Molecule: ribosomal RNA, 460 nt
Filed under: uncultured bacterium
Lineage: Bacteria
Description: partial 16S ribosomal RNA
Rfam family: Bacterial small subunit ribosomal RNA
Source: RNAcentral
CCUACGGGUGGCAGCAGUGAGGAAUAUUGGUCAAUGGACGAGAGUCUGAACCAGCCAAGUAGCGUGAAGGAUGACUGCCCUACGGGUUGUAAACUUCUUUUAUAUGGGAAUAAAACGUUCCACGUGUGGGAUUUUGUAUGUACCAUAUGAAUAAGGAUCGGCUAACUCCGUGCCAGCAGCCGCGGUAAUACGGAGGAUCCGAGCGUUAUCCGGAUUUAUUGGGUUUAAAGGGAGCGUAGGUGGAUUGUUAAGUCAGUUGUGAAAGUUUGCGGCUCAACCGUAACAUUGCAGUUGAAACUGGCAGUCUUGAGUACAGUAGAGGUGGGCGGAAUUCGUGGUGUAGCGGUGAAAUGCUUAGAUAUCACGAAGAACUCCGAUUGCGAAGGCAGUUCACUGGACUGCAACUGACACUGAGGCUCGAAAGUGUGGGUAUCAAACAGGAUUAGAUACCCGUGUAGUC